CUUCGGUCUAGUGAGGGUAUAGAGAGCGGCGGACGGGUGAGUAACGCGUAGGCAACCUGCCCCAUACACAGGGAUAGCCUCGGGAAACCGGGAUUAAAACCUGAUAAUGCGAGAAGUUCACAUGGACAACUCGCCAAAGAUUUAUCGGUAUGGGAUGGGCCUGCGUCUGAUUAGCUAGUUGGUGGGGUAACGGCCUACCAAGGCGACGAUCAGUAGCCGACCUGAGAGGGUAAUCGGCCACAUUGGAACUGAGACACGGUCCAAACUCCUACGGGAGGCAGCAGUGGGGAAUAUUGCACAAUGGGCGAAAGCCUGAUGCAGCAACGCCGCGUGAGCGAUGAAGGCCUUUGGGUCGUAAAGCUCUGUCCUUGGGGAAGAAAAAAAUGACGGUACCCUUGGAGGAAGCCCCGGCUAACUACGUGCCAGCAGCCGCGGUAAUACGUAGGGGGCAAGCGUUAUCCGGAAUUAUUGGGCGUAAAGAGUGCGUAGGUGGUUUUGUAAGCGCGGGGUGAAAGGCUAUGGCUCAACCAUAGUAAGCCUUGCGAACUG
This 549-nucleotide ribosomal RNA is filed under the name uncultured bacterium. Its description in RNAcentral is "bacterial SSU rRNA". It matches the Rfam family "Bacterial small subunit ribosomal RNA", at positions 67 to 635 of the family's 1533-position model. The record is from RNAcentral.